This 16947-nucleotide long non-coding RNA is filed under the name Gallus gallus (chicken). Lineage: Eukaryota; Metazoa; Chordata; Aves; Galliformes; Phasianidae. The record is from RNAcentral.
CAGAAACUGCCAUACUGAGAACUGAGCUUCAGCAGCUAAAUCAGGAACUGCAGGGUGUGCAUUAGCAGUGCAGAAGGACAGCCCAAGAACUUGCCAGUCAAGAUGAAAAACUUCUUCUAAUGGAAUCCAGCUUGAAAGCAACUCAAGAGCAGCUAAGUGAGCAAACAGCAGAAACAGUUCACCAAGAACAGAACAGUAGAAAAUCACAGACAGAGCUGAAAGAAGAUCCUGAGAGAACGUAUUAUAGCUUCUGAUGAAGAAAUUAGUGAUUACAAGUGAGUAACUGCUUUUAUAGUAUUUGAUAAACAGAAGACAUUAAAGACAGCAGCAAAUUCUUUUAAUAAGUAUUAUGUUAACCAUUUAUUUCUGGCAAGAUGUAGUGUAAAUAUGUUCUAUAGCUACUGAAUAAACUAUUAAAUCUAAAAGAUUGAUUAAUGUGUACUUUAAAAUAUAUUUUGCACUUAAAAUUAAAAAAAAAUACUUUUGUUAGUGGUCUAUUUUACUUUUGGAAUGAAAAAGAGAAAAAGAUUCUAUGGUGUUGAAGUAGAAUAAUAUUUGUUACUUCUAUCUUAAUAUUAUUCUCAUCUUCCUAUUUUUAGCAACUGAAGUUUAAAUAUGCAUUUUAUUUUCUUUAUUUUUUUUAGAAGCUGUCUCUAAGCAAGAUGCUGCCAAAUAAAAGGAAAUUUAGUGUUUGAACUUUUAGUCACAACAGUAAGGCACAUAUGAGAUUGCAUACUAUACUUGAGAAAAGUUUAAACAGAAAAAUGUACCUCUAUUCUCAGAAAAAAAAAAAAUAGUAUCUAUAAGUUUAUAAGUUUAAAUGUUAGCUCUGAAGAUUUUAAUUAAAAAAUACUAAUCUUCAACAAAUAACUUUUAUAAAUUAUAAUGACUUUAAAUGUAUUUUUAUAUUGAGACACAAAAUGAUACAUUAUUCAGAUUUUUCAAGAUCUACAGUAUGGUAGAAAUGAUUCACUACUGCUUCUUUUUGCCUUAUUGUAUGCAAACUGUUACAUAUGUUAUAUUAAAAAAUUGUUAAAUGUAGAGACAGAAACUCAAGCUGUUUUAUAAUAUCAUAGAGUGCAGGUGAAUGCUUUAUAAAGAGAGCAUGACUGAAAUAAAGUUUAUUCAUUCAGUGGUAGGUUGAACAUUUAAAGAGAAAUGUUUUAUCUCAGAUUUGUACCAAGCAUCAAGGACUGUCUCUACAAAUCUCCUCUGAGAGAAGCUUUGCUAGGUUUAGAUGCAAUAAACAUAAUGUUUCAAAAUCACAAUAUGACAAUGUUAUAAUUUGUAUGCUCAGUGUAAAUAGCUUCUAGACUGGAACUUCACUCUGUAUUCAAAAGUUUAAAGCCAAUUUUUCUGCUGAAGACUGGGAAAAUCUCUAUGGGAAGAAAAAAACGCACAAGAACAAAAACAUUGUCUACAGUAAUAUGUCUUCAUUUCUUUAAAUAAAAUAGCUUGGUGGUUUUCAACUUCUAGUUAUACCUCUAAAGACCUUACUACUACUUCUCUAGGGACAGUAGUGUCACUGAUUUGCUUUCCUAACCUAUCUUGACUCCUUUGCUACAGUAAGCUUUCUUAACCAUUUCAAGUGAUUCUUCAGUUGCCAAAAUGCCAUGUUAUGCAAAUUCCUGUAGAUAUUUACUUCAAAAUUAAAAGGUUAAAAUCUUCUAGGAGUACUGGCUGUAAGUUUGUGUGAUACAGUGAUAGAAAUGGUAGGGGAUGUGGGAGGAUUGAAACCUCCAGCUGUAUCUGAUCAAAUGUGUGAUGAAAUACAACACUUGAUAGAGCAGGAAUUUUGCAAAAGUGAAAUGAGUUUCUCUGUUCUUCAAAUAGAAAGACAAAUGAUAAACACUACAAGACUUUGAGACACAUUUCUUUCUUUUUUUUUUUUUUUAUGAUUUCAUAGUAUACAUUUUGUGAAUAAAUAAAAACUUGGAUGAAUCUGUUAACAUACAAAAAUUCACUAAGCCACCUUUUUUUCUGUUUAUAUUUGAUUUUCUUUUUCUGCUCUAUUUUUCUAUUUCUGUUUUCACCAAACUAAUAUGUUUGUUGGCUUUGGAAGUUUGUUAAUUUAGUACAUGAGCAUAAUGUAUUUUGAGUUAGGGGAGUCUUCAGGUUACAGCUCUAUAGAUUGUCAAGAUUAUUUUUAUAGGCUCUUAGGUUAAUUUUUAUGUUUAAGUUUAUGACACUUGUUUUUUAAAAGUACUGUGAUAUUACUGCACGAUUAUAGAGAAGUAUUUGUUGAAUUAGGAAAAUUAACGCUGUAAAUUUAAAAUUUUAAUAAAGUUGAAAUUAUAAAGAUAAAAACUAAGAAACAAAAUUGAACAUUUUAGAUAUUAAAUUCCCCCUUAAAGAUAACAUUUUACUGAAUACCUGAAAACAAACAUGUUGUGCCAGACAGUAUCUGCUGUGCUCUGUUCCUUGAGAGGCAGAAAGAACAAUGGAUCUCUUUCCCCAUGGGUGUUUGGGGACAGGGAAUGUCGUAAAGGUUAUGUUCAUUUACUAUGAAGGGCACAGCACGUGUUGUAAAGUAACAUCCCUUUGGUGCUGACUUAUUCGAAGUCACAUAGUCCUGGACUUUACCUACCACCCUACUUAGUGAUUCUGGCAAAUGCAGAUGGUAUCAAGGUGAGAGCUUAGGACCUUACAAAGAAAAAUGCAGUGAAGCAUAAAUUGGUGGAUUUAAACUACCGAGAGAGUUAAGAUUCUGCUAUAGCUGUUGUGACGCCUAUAAGGAGAAAAGUCCAUUUUUGUAUGCUUUUAUUUCCUUGUAAUGUAAAUGUACAUUAAAGGAUAUUUCUCCUGGAAGUGGUGUAAAAGGAAAGUACUGAAGAGCAUUUAAAAAACAAUAAAACUAGCAUUAUUUGUGCUAGUUUACAAAAAUAUUUUUUUAUAAAAUAGAAUAAAAAUAUUUUACUAACUGUACUGGAUUCUCAAAAUGCAUGUAUUCCAGGUAUAACCAAAAUUUGUAAGUAGUCACAAGCUAUGUUUGCUAUAUACUUAUUCUGGAUGAAAUAAACCUAAAGUUACACACACUCCCCCCCAGCCUCCAAUAUAAGCCUGUUACACUUGAAAGAUUUGUUCGGAAUGUCCAGUGGGAACCUGGAAAUCGUAAUAAUUUGUAGUAUCGAUUGUGUGAAGCUAUGCAGCUGGGGCCUCUAGUGAAUAGACAGGAAUAGACAUUUUAUUGAUUAACUUUUACAGUCAUAUUUUCAAGACUCUGCUGCAACAUAAUUUUCACUUCCCAGCUUUGUGCUGCUGCAUCAUGAAACUUGAAUUCUUCUCUCUUAACAUUUACCCACCUGAGGGAAACAGUAUGGAGUUGUCUCUUUUAAGCUGCGCUCUGCAGAAAUGCAUAACACUUGACACAGUGAAUUCUUCAAAAUUUACCCUCCGCUGUUGCAAUAAAAUGAAAAAUAUUAAGAAGUGAUAUUAGUAUCACCCAAGUUGAACUGCCCACUCCAUAUGUUAGACGCCAUUGUUUCAUACUUCCUAGUAAUUUUAUCCACCUUUUUUUUUAUUUUUAUUUUCUAAGGGGCUAAGAUUGUGGCAAAAAAAAUUGCCACCCUCCUCACACCACAGAUUCCAGCAGUGCUUAAUGGAGUUUGUCUCAUAAUUAAAUAGGUGAUUUUAUUAGUUACUGGAGAAGAAUAAGUGCUUCCCUGAAAAUGUGAACUAUGAAUUAAAAAAUACUCAUUUUUAAGAGUGACAGCCUGUGUCAAAUAAAAUUCCUUGUAAAAGUACAGAAAGGGCAGUUUUUCAUUAUAAUUAUCAAUCUAUCAUUUAACAAUGUAAAAAUAUGUACCAAAAUAGUAAACAGACUAGUCUUAGAAAGCAUUAUUUCACAUUUCUGAAGUUAUUCGUUUUCAGAAAAGAAAAAAAAAAGGGGGGGGGGGGGCAUUUUGCCAUUUUGUAAAGAACUGUUGCAUAUUUUCUGAUUUUUUCCCAGUAUGAUUUGCAUUCUAAAUCAGAUGCCCAAGCCACUAUUCUUUCAUGCUGAUAAAAUUGCUGGUAAAAAUCUCAAUCUAUCAUUUUUUUUUUCAUCUAAUGACUGUUUCUUUGUUGUUGUUGUUGUUGUUAUUUUACAUGGUAACUUUUACUUGAAUGCUGUUUGCAAUGUAAGUUUGAUAACAGCUUUCACAAAAUAGGACAAAUAUUCACAUACAUUGCCACUGGUGCUAAUAUGAUUUAGACUUCUGUCAUUCUAUUAUUUUUCCUAGAGAUAUUUUAUUACUAGUGUCUUCUAAGUAUCUAAAUGUUUAAGAUAUUUGUGGUCAUGUUUCCUUUUGUCCUCCCGCUCAUCAGAUACAUCUCAGUGUGCACUGUAUGGAGACACCAAAGCAGAAAUACUCGCAUAGAUGACAGAAUGUUCAUCUUGUUUGCAGUUGUCUAAACUCUUACAGAAAAAAUCCUGAUUUCUCUUAAAAAAGCAGAAAACUGUGUGGAGAACUUUAAGGUAAGAAUAAAAGGAUCAAAGAAAGUUGGAGAACAGGUGCUACUCAAGGCCUCAGUAUCCACUGGACCUGAAAUAACCUUGAAACAGAAUCAUUCUCGAUCAGAUGAAUAACGAGAAAAUUUGUUAAGAGUGCAUAGAAUUAUAUUUUUCUAAUGGACAAACUUCAUUGUACAGCAAUAUGAGAAAAGAAAUAUCACAUCCUCAUGACUUACUAGACCUCAGUCUUUCAAACAUAUACAGAUGUCAGCAGUUUCAUGAAGCCAAUUACUCUAUAACCAUGUGAAAAACUGUUCAUGAGUUUGCAAGAUUUAAGAUGAAGAUUGUUUUAAUAUUAAGGAUUACUCAGUAUUUUAUUUAGUAGUUGCAAUGCUUUAUUAUAGAAGUUAUGUUGUAAAUCAUGAUGAUUGUAGAAAAUAAAUGAAACAACUGAUCAUUUUACUUCAGAUUCAUUUAACACAAAUCCAAAUGAAUGUGAUUUGUGCAUGUGAGAAUGCAUGUGCAUGCUCUUGUGGUUUAGUUAAAGAAGGAAGAAGUCAUGUUCCCUCUUCUGAAUGUUUGUAGAGAUGUUUAAGUGAGAACAAAGUAGUAAGUUAGUAAGAUUUUUAUGUUCUCAGUAGAUAACUACCAUAGUAGUCAGACCACUGUGAACAGCAUGUUAGCUUCAUUGCUCAAUUUCAUGUUUAUUUUUCUAUUUUUUUUUCUAUUUGGAAAUAUGCAUGAUGAGGCUUCUUGUAGUUAUAAAACAAACAAACAAACAAAAAAACCUUUUUAUCGUGAAUUAAAGCAAUGAAAAUUUAUAAGAAAUUAGAAAAAAAUAAUUGAAAUAAUUAAGAUAUUUAUCUAUAUUAAAUAAGUUAGAUAUCAUAUAUAGCAAAAUGUUUUUCAGGAAGUGCAAUUGCAGAAAUUCACAACUAGUUUUAUUUCUUGCAUUUGACCCGAGAAGUCUGAUUUAAUUGUAGAAAAAAUAAAGGCCAGAUAGCUCCAUUACUUUACCUGUUUCACCUUAAAAAAAAAAAAAAAAAAAAAAAAGGAAUAUCUGAACCAUUUUAAUUGACUUAUAUUGUUUAGUGGGAUUUUAAUGCAUAAGACAUAAAUCAUAAACAUAGAAGUAUAAAAGUAUAGCUAAGAAAUGAAAUGUACAUGAACUCUUUGCUUUUUUAAAAGUACUGCAGAAUUGAAGACUUGAAGUGAAAAUUUAUGUUUAUUGAAUUUCAUAGUACCUCUGACACAAACACAUAAAUAAAUUACUGAAAUAAUAGUAAUAAUAUAGCAGAUGACCAUCCUAGAGUAGAAUAUGAUCCUACACAUUUAUGUCUUCCUAGGCAGUAUAGUUACUACUGGGAAAAAUUGAAUUGAUUGCAACGGAAAUAUACCUGACAGUAAGCAUUUACAGUGGCAGGCAAAAUUAUUUAAGAAAAGAGAAUAUAAAAUUAAGAAAGACAGAUGGAGUCAUAAGAGUGAAAUACAAAUAGUCUGAAUCAGGAUUGAUUUCAACAUAAUGUGGUGGAGGAAUCCCCAUUUAUUGAUCAACUUUAAAGCCUAUGCACAGCACUUAAAAAGAUAAAGUAAGCAAGGUCAGAUAAUCAAAGCAUUUAAAUAGUAAAAACAGCAACUGCCACUGUAGACUGCUAAAAUAAAUCCAUAAUACAAAUUGCUUUAGCAAAAAGUGGAUGAGUAGCUGAUCUUCCUAUUGAACUUUAUACUGUUCAGUGACCACACUGGGAAAAGGAUUGGGAGAAAUGCCUUGAAGAUCAAUAUUGAGUGAGAUGUAGCAGGGAUUCAUUCUGAACAUGAAAGAAUUACAAGUAUGAGAGUAGAGAUCUUGAAGAAAUGUCAUCAAGAAGGGACUAUUCUUUUAAAAAUAUCACACAUAUUACAAAAAAGUGACAUUAGUUGAUAUUCUAUCAUGAUCUCAGAACACUGAAAUCUUAUUAAAUCAACUAUUAUUACAAAACAUGAAAAUAACAAAAAGAAAGUGAAUAAUAUUACUAAAAAUACUUUGAAAAAAUCAGUAAAUUUUGUCUUAAAAAAAAGAUUUUAAAAUAUAUUAAUUUAUUAAUUAAACUGGCACGUGCAUAUGCAAUUAACACAUUUAAGUAUUAUUAUUUCCUUUUUUUUUUUUUCUAAAUAACAUUUUAGUAGAUAUUUUUAUUGCAUUAUAGAAACUGGAAGGAUCUAUUGCAAAUGCUCCAAAUUUCAAUUCAACCUAAGCCUUUACAGGCUUUUCAUUAAAAUAAAUAAAUAGAUAGAGAGAUAGAUAUGUGCUAUCACUUUCAGUUCUACAUAACUUUCAUCCAGCACUGUUUGAGACGUAUUUAUGAGGAAAAAAUCCUAGAUGUAGCAGUACUACAGUAGCUCAUUGUCUUAUAUCUAUUGAAUCAAUUGACACUUGUAUUAUAUUAUCUCAUGAGAAGUGCUGAAUUUUCAUGUACUGUUGCCCCUUAUAAAUAUAGAAUACUAGGUUUUUGUUUGUUUGUUUGUUUCAUUUCUGGUCAAUCAUCUUACUAAUAAAAAAGUAUUCUUGCCAGAAAGUUAUUACUAUCAGUGUUUGAAAAUACAGGGCUGCUCUGAAAGUAAUGCUUUUGUUUUUUUUAUGUUGGCCAACAACAUCAGACACAAAUGUGGGAGGUAUGACAGUAGAUGUUGAACUUUCCCACCAAUAUUCUGUUACGUUUUGUUGCCCUGUGACAGAUGGCAACAGAGCGGGCAGUCUGUCAACAUGACACGUGACCUGGAAGUGCAUAUGAAGUAAAUGUAUGUCAUUGAAUUCCUCCAUGUGGAAAAAAUGGCACCCACUGACAUUCACUGGCACUUGCUGAAUGUUUCUCGAGACCCAACAGUGAAUGUGAGCACAGUCAGGUGGUGGGUGGUGUUUUUCAGCAAUGGUGACAGUGUGUCACUUCCUCUGGUGCAGAUUUUUAUGAGCACAGCAUGCAGGCUAUAGUUCAUUGCAGACAAAAAUGCAUAGUUCAUCACGGUAACUAUCUUGUAAAAUAAUGUUUUGUAGCUGAGAAUUUGCUGUAUCAAGUAGUGAUCAAAUAUCAAGUAGUGUUGUUGUACUCUAUGUAUUUCUUGUAGUUUCCAUGGAAAUAGAUACAAAGAAUUAUUUUUUUAGUGACCUAGGUAUUUGUAUUUGAAACAAUAAUACACACACACACACAAUUUCGAGUAUUUCAGAAAUAUAUAUAUAAAGUAGAUAUAGUAUUCAUAUUUUCUAUGAACACCCAGUUCAGCAAAAUAUAGUAGAAAACUGAGUCCCAAAAGCAUAAAGUUUCUUCACUAUUGUAAACCUAUAGUAUACCUUCUUGUAAUGAAUAAUUAUUUACAACUAGUAUUGGUUCCAUAUUUACAGUAGGAAUUGCUGAUUACAGCAAUUUCAAUAGCAAAUUUGUGAAACAAUAUUCACAGUUGUUAGAGAAAGGUCAGCUUCUUUGCAUUCAUUAGGAACUUGGAGGACCAUUCACCGUAUUUUUCCUUUGGGGUGCUUAUAGUUAUUGAUUUGUACAUAUCUAUAGGAAAAAUUAAUUACAAUUAUUUUUCAUUUACCACUGGAGGCUGUGUAAUAAUAAUUGUAAUAACAAAGUUCAGCACAAAAAGAGGAAAAAAAAAAAGAAAAAAGAAAAAAAAGAAGAAACAGCAAAUUAAAUAGCAAUAAUUUUAAAAAAUUAAUAUUGUUAGAUUUAACUUGUUUAAAAUAAUAUCUUCUGAAUUGCCUGAGGAAAUCUCUUAUAUAACUUCCAUUAAUAGUCACAAUGUUUUUAUUUUAAUGGAAGUGCGUAGGGCACUUACAGUGAUGUGAUAUAAGGUAUUCACAACUUUUCUCCCUAUGAGUGAUCUGUAAAGAUGCUUAUAAACUCAGAAAACAUUUAAUCACAUGCUUAAUUUUCCUUACAUAGGGAACUUAAAUCAUGUAACCAGUAUAGUUAUUAACUUCAAAAUGUGAUUUAAGUGAAAGAAUAAUCCUGGCAUAAUAAAUUAAAUUAUUUGCAUGCUUACAUUUUUACUCUAGUUCUUAAGGGUCUUUCAAGAACAAGAGCUAUAUAAAACCGAAUGGAAACAUUAUAGUCAUUGUCUCCUAACUCCUUAGGUCUGAAAAAUGUGAGUAAUGCCUCCAGAAAAGCUUAAAUGGGAAUCACGCCAAGAAUGUGGGACCAGGAAAGUCAAAUUGUCAGACUGAGACAAAACUUUGUGGAAAUGGAAGAAGAAGUAAAGAACUUAAGACUUACACACAGCAAUGAUGCUCAGAUGAUUGAUAAGAAUCUGAAUACUCUGAGAAAUGAGAUGAACUUGUAUGAAGACACAUAGGAUGGUAGUCAAAUGAGCUGAAGUUUAAAUAUGAACAACACAAUGCAACACUGAGGCCUGCAUGACUGUAAGAAUGUUAGGUAAGACCCCUUAGUUACUUUUAGACAACUGUUUCUCUGGAAUGUUUCUUUAAUAGAUAUUAAGUCCUUGAAGAGAAAUAGAUUUCUGUAGCUUUGUUUUGCCACUUCAUUUUCAAAUACUAAAUUGAAAAACUGUGUAGAAAGGGAAAUAAUAUCAUAGUAAUUUUAUCAUAAAAGAUACUCAUCAUUUUUUUAAUUAAAAAUAUUCUCUUGUGCAGCUAAUGUUUAGGUGAAGAAAAUGGUGUAGAAUUUUUCAAUACUGAAGUGUAUGAUUUCAAGUCUUGUUUUCAUCCUGUGCAAAGUCAAAUAACUUGUGGACAAAGAAUACAUAAUUUUCCAAAUCUGUGAACUGAAAAUAGAAUGACAGCAGCACGUUUUCUUGAAAACUAAAAAAGAAGAAGAAAUAAUAAAACAAAGAUUUUAUUUUAUUUAACCAUAAGUACUUAUGGAAAACAAAAACAAACAAACAAACAAAAAUGGAUAUUGCAAAUGCAGAUGGUGCACAUUGAUACUCAUAAUUACUAAAUACACUUUCCGUAUCUCAUAACACAUUAAUAUACAAUAUAAAAAGAGCUGGAAUAGUUAUAGUCAUUUUCUUUUUACUGCUAAAAAAUUGAAUUUAUGUCAGUUAGUGUAUUGAAAGCUCUGAAGUGUCACUAAAAAGUGAAGUUUAUAAUUAUUCGGACCUACUAUCAGAAAUUCCUUAAGAUUGUUACAGCUCUUACAAUAAAUAUUUGUCUGCCCCGUAUUUGUAAAAACAUACAAUAUUGGAACAACAACAACAACAAAAAGUUAAGUAUUGUUUUGAACUGGGAAACACUAAGUUGUGAUAGAUUUGCAGUAAUACUCUUGAAAAUAUAAUUUAAAUUCACACUUAUAUUUGUGAUAAAAAAUGCUUCAUGGCAUUUUGUAACACUUCUAUAGGGCAUCACUAUUACCUCGGUUUGUAUUGAGACACUGUUGCUGUUUGAAAAGUUAAUCAUGCAGUACUGCUCCAUUCCCCUGGGAGAAAGGUGCUGGGGAAGGAAAAAAUCCAAUUGAGGUAGCAGAAAUUAAUUUAUUAAAAGGAAUGUGAGAUAAUAGAGAAUAAAUAAGAGUAAUAAAUCAAAACAAACCAAAAAUAAAACUGGAGGAGAGAGAGAGAGUCCAUCCAAAUCUUUAUCAGCAGGCCCUCCACUGUUUGCUUCCUGUAAAAGACAAGAGAGUUCUUCCCUUGUAACCCAGAAUUGGAACCAUGUGGAGGCUGCUGGAAAAUUCAGUACAUCCCAGUGCAUCUUUGCCUGGGGGAGUCAGAACUCACAUGAGAUUGCUAGAGAUAAACAGGAAACACAUCUCCGCAGUGCACUGUGCACUCUGCGUCCAACAGCCUGUUGCAUGAUAUUACGAUAUGGAAUAUUGAUAUAACCAGAACAGAGAUACAGUUGCAAUAUUUAAUAACUUAUAAUAUUGGACAAAAUAAAAAAGCUGCAAUUAAAAAAAAAAAAAAAAAAGGCCUGAAUAAUAGUUGUGAUAAUAAUUUAGUUUUUAUUAUAGCAGUUUACAGUCAGAGAUUUCAUAUUUUCAGAAGAUGUGCAAUUAUUGUUAUUUUUAAUACUAUGAUUUUACUUGUGUGUAAUAUGAUUUUACAUUUAUAUAUGUACUUUGAGGUAUAAAAUUGAUUUUUUUUUUUUUUUUUGGAUCACAGGAUAGAAAAUUGUCUUUGGUAGCAGCAAAGAUUAAAAAAAUAGUAUCACUUAAAUAAAUACAUGUGAAGAAGCCAAAUUUGUAACAAAAAGGAAACCAGUAAAUGAAUUCACAAAAGCCAGCUACUACAUAGCAAAUCUCUGUAUAAAUGGGCUGAGAGUAUGUACCAAGAAGAAGUUUUUAAGCUUAAAAAGCAUGAAAAUCACAAAGCAGAACUGGAAGAAGACACAGAAAAAUACUGCCAUGUAAAGGAAGAGCCUUCAGAACAAGGGUCUCAGCUCAAAAUUAGCUAGCUGGUCCAUUCUGGAGUGGGAAAACUGAUAAAAUGCCGCAGUACUCAGGUAAUACCCUUGAUACAAUAUGUGGAAGGGAGACAGUGUUUGAAGUAAUAUCAGUGAAUGUAUCAGAGUACUCUCAGAGAAUUUUUCCAACGGAUAAGGAAAUAUUAUUUAAAUAAUACUAACUGUAAAAUUCACUCAUGAGUGAUUGAGAAAACAUGAGAAAUAUUGUUGAAAAUAUCAAGUCAAUAUAACAGCAGCAUUUCUUCUUUUAAAAGUGUUGUGGGUGGGAUUCACCUUGUUGAACUGGAGGUAGGAAUAUUUGAAAUAGAUGUCUAAGUUCCAUUGCUGUCAUUGGAGACUUAAUCAACUCAGUGAGUGAAAUCAAGGGCUAUCAAUACCUUUCAUUACCCAAAGUGAACCUACAGAAAAGCUGGAGAGUGACUCUUUAUCAGGUAGCAUUGUCAUAGGACAAGGGAUAGUUGCCUUCAACUAAACUAGAUUAGACAUUAGAAAGAAAUUCUUCACUAUGAGGACAGUGAGAUACUGAAAUAAAUUGUCCAUAGAAACUGUGGAUGCUCCAUCUCUGGGAGCAUUCAAACGUAGGUUGAGUGAAGCCCUUGGCAACUUGAUCUCAUGGAAGGUGACUGUGCUAUGGCAGGGAAUUAGAACUAGAUGAAUUUAAGUUCUCUUCCAAACCAUUUUAUGAUUCUAUGACUAAAUAUUGAUCCAAUCAAUAUUAAGGUUUUCAGAGGAGCUGAAAAUCAAUCCCAGUGACAAUAUUAUUCAUUGUGAUAGAACACAUUCACACACCGUAAUGCAGACAUCCAAAUUUGGGUAAGAAUAAUCAGAUUAGAAAAGUUAGCCUUUUUGCAGCAAUUCAUUAUAUAAUACGGAAUUAUUUUAUUUAUUUUUGUUACUAAUAAGAGUACUAGAUGUUUCACAAGCAUAGAUACUGGUCAAUUAUCUGAGCAAUAUCCAAUAUAUAAAUACACAAAGUUAGAAGGAAAUGAUCAAUGCCAGAGAGAAAUAAAAGUUAAAAUAAUACAUGCUUUUUCUUCUGUGUCUGAGAGAAUGUGAGUAGAUGUGAAAGUUGGAAAACCAAAAGAAUUAGUAGUAUGACAACAUUCCUUUUCUACCCUAGCAUUGUCAAAAGAUAACAAGAUUAAUUCUCUGCUGUAGUAUUUCACUACAGUAGUGUGUUAAUUUGAGGGGCUUGGCUGAGCCUUAUUCAGCAUAUAAUUAGAAUUUACUGAACUUUAAUUUCUUAUCAUCUUUAGGCUGCAUUAUCAAAGUGUUUAUAUUGAAACAUUCAAAUGUUCAGUUAAAAAUAAACUUCAGUUUGUCAAGGAUACAUUGUAUACAAAUUCUGUGGAAAUAUUUGAAUAAAAUUGUUCACUUUUGCUUUGUGAGAAAUGCUUUGCACUUUACAUAUUUAUAACAUAAUGUCAUUAGAGUAUGUAUCUUAGAAAUAUAGCAAUUUCCUGGUGAAUUUAUUGAAUAAAUGCUUAUCUAAUAAGUAAUUUGAGAGUAGAGAAAGAUCUAAUGAAAAGCUAAAUACACAGUGAAAUCCUAAUCAAGCAAUUGAAAUAGUUACUCAUGAUAAAACUAAGAUUAUCAGAGUAUCAGAACACAAAUUACUCCAUUAAUCUUUUGAAUUAGUCAGUUCUUAUUUUCUGAAGCUAAGUAACUUGGGAAGGUACACUCAAGGUUUCAUCUUUCUGAAGACUGUAUUUAUUACCUUUACUUUCAUAAAGAGUUCAUUAGAAAGAAUAUUACAGUGAAAUACGUUAACUUUUUAGCCUGUUUUAAUGAGGUCAUGUGAGUCUUUAAUUAUCUGACAUAAAACUGCUUAGUUUUACGUAGUAUCUACAGAUACUAAUUAGUAUCUACAUAUAUACAUUAGUAUCUACAUCAAUUAGUAUCUACAGAUAUUAACGGAUUCAUAUGUCAUAAAGCCAGAAGAAACGCUGUUAUUGAAUCUUAUAUGUGGCACAAUGCAGGCCACAGGACUUCACUGAAUUGAGUAGUUGUAAGAGAUUAUUCUUUUAUAUGAUUGACUCAAAGUUUGCUGAGGAACAAGUCCAGGCAAGUCCUGGGCAAAGGUACAGAAAUCUUCUGUCUGGAGGACACUGAUGGACAGGUCCUGGCUAAAGGAUUGUGAAGUCCUUUAAGGAGCACAGAUGGACGAGGCCAGGGGCAACGAGAGAGGGAUAAGCUGCUGAUAAUGGCUGAGAAAUGGUCUUUUGUGUGGACUUAUCUAGAAGAAGAUGGCCAUCUCAGGAGCUACGCACAUGACUCUUGCUCAAGCACCCAGGGAUGUCACGUAGGCAGGAAAAAGAGGAGGAUAAAAGAGGGUCUAACAACCAUGAGGAGAGGGUUUCUGCCAUCAGAUCCCUCACCACGACGGACUCAAGGUUUCUGCCAUCAGAUCCUUCACUACGGACCAUAUGCUGAUGGACUUCCCUGGGCCUGCUACCUGAGACCUGCUGCUUCCUCCCAGACUUACUCUGCGGCUUCUUCCUGGACCCACCCGGUACCUGCACCCUCUCGUUGCCCAAGACCGGCCUCGCUGCUCCUGCCCUUCAGCCUCGGACCAUCAGAACAUCGUGCAACAGGACUACUGCUGGUGGUGACUAUCCCCGCUUUAUGCAAUUCUUGCUUCUUUCUAUCUUUUCUAUCGCUCGCCUUCCCUUUCCCAUCACCCCAAUCCAUAAUAGUGUCCGUCCUCCCCUUUCUUCAUCUCCCUUAUUAACAUAUGUAAUAAACUGGUCGGACCAACAUUUGAACCGUUGUUUCUUAAUCUCACGCCGGGCAUACAUAUUUCAAAGAACCUCCUCUCCCUCCUAUAAAUUGGAGUGAGACAGUAGUACAUUAUGUCUAAGUAAAUGUGAUUAAAAUGGAGUAUAUUAAAAUGGAGCAUACAUUUUUUAUACAUUCUUGACUUUAAAUAUACACAAUGUUAGAGAAUUCAUUACGGUCUUUCACAGGUUGCCUCAAUAGUUAGUAAAACAUAUAGCAUGCUGACUGUUCAUCAUUUUAGCAUCUUUCUUGGAAUGUUAUACAAAUCUCAACAUAUAUAAAAAUAGUUUUUAUGUCAUCUUUAUCAAUAACAUUUGAAAUAUCAUAAAACUGAAAGAGCAGAUAGUUUUACAAGAUGUGUUUACAGUAAAUCCACAGUAACUUUGGUUAUUAUAUUAAUGCACAUUUGUUAUAUGUAUCUACAGCUAACACAAAUUACUGUGGAAUUAUGAUAUUAGCUGUCCUGAUAUUUUGCUUGAAAGAGAUAAGUAACUACCCUCCUUGAAUUACUUGAAUCACCCUCUUAAAACCUAAGAAAUAUUAGCACAGAAUUAACAGAUAAAUUAAUCUGUACUGUUUUGGAAGUUUUUAAGGUUGUCAAGACCAAACACUGUAAAUAUGGCCUAGAAAUUCUUUUCAAAAGCACUUCAAAAGCACUUAGAUAUGUUUUACGUAGACAAUUUGAAAUAUAUUUAUACUUAUGUGAUUGCAGUCACUUUUAUCCUAAGACUAAAAUACCAUACAUUCUUCAGUUAUAAUAGAAUAUUUCACAUGAAGGGUUCUACAGAGAUCAUCAAGUCCAACUGCCUGACAACUUCAGAGGUAACCACAAGUUAAGCGUAUUACUGAGGGCAUUAUCCAAAUGCAUCUCAAGUAAUAUUAGGCAUGGGACAUCAGUCAUCUCAUUGCAGUGAGAUAAAAGCCUGUUCCACUGUUUGAUGAUAAAUAAAUGUCCAGUAUAGUCUGAAACUCCCCUGGCACAGCACAGCUGUGUGCCACUCCUGUGCAACCUGCAAUCAGCACAGAAGAUACCAGGGAGCAGAGACCAGCACCUCCCUCUGUACUUCCUCUCCUCAAGGAGCUGCAGAGAGCAGUAAAGUCAUCUUGUAGACUCCUAUUCUCCAGGCUAGACAGUCCAAGAGUCCUCACCCUUUCCUUACUAGACAUGUCUUCCAUUCUGAUUACCUGCUUUGUUGCCAUUGUCUGGACACUUUUAGAUAUCUUAAUAAUGUUUUUAUGUUGUGGGGCAUACAUUAUUCAAGGUGAGGUUGCACCAACUCCAAAUAUAUCAGGACAAUCACCCCAAAAAGCAGUUUGCCCUUUUGGCAACCAACACUGCUGGUUCAUACUGAGCCUGCUAUCAUCAGCCCUCCUAGAUCAAUUUGUUCUGAGCUGCUCUCCAGCCAUUCAUCUCUCAGUUUGUGUCAUCUCUCAGGUACUGUGCCAGGCAUAGUACCUGACAUUUACCUUUGUUGAACUUCACGCCACUGUUUCCCCAGUGCUCCAAUCCAUCCACAUUGCUCUACAAGACCUCAGCAACACAACUGACCAUCUACUAGCCAAAUGGGUCUCCAUCACUACAACACUUUGAGUUCUACCAUUGAGCCAGUUUAUCACCCUGCAUAGUGUGAACAUACUUAUCUCACAGUUGGACAAUUUGUACAGAAAGUUGCCAUGAAGGAUCAUAUCAAAGGCUUUACUGAAUUCUAGAAAGAUGACGUACGCUGCCUUCCUUCAUCCACCAAGUGGGUAAUCUUAUAAAAAGAAAUCAAAGCAAUGAAGACAGGGCUUUCCCUUCAUGAACCCAUAUUGACUAUGCCUGACAAUGGCUUUGUCCUUCAAGUGCCUUUCAGUAACACUCACUAUAAUCUUCUCCAUAAAUUUUUAGGGUACUGAAGUUAGGUUAACAAGUCUGUUACAGAUUUGUUACUUUUGUUACUUUGUUUUCAGUAAGUUCUUUCUCUUUAUUUUUUGUUUGUUUGUUUAUUUUACUUUGUUUUGGGAAGAGGAGAGCUUGUGGUGGGGAGUGGGGUUUUGUCAUCUACGUAGUGCUAUUGAAGAUAAUACUACUUUUUUAUAUUUAAACAUUUGAUCCUCAGAAAGUUUCAUCCUAUUCUUUCAUGUUUACGAGAUUUUUCUCUCUUCAAACACUUUUUUUCUUUGUAUGAACAUUUGCAAAUGAGUGUGUACAUGCAUAUCAAUGACCAUGAGUACAUGGGGCUUAUCUGUUCCUCAAAAAUAUGACUUGGUCAAAAUUACUUUUGCAUAAAGAACAACUGAAUUUCAGCAACGUAAUCCUUUCCUACUCAUAAGUCUUAAAUUAAUGUGCAAAAUUGAAUUAAUCAGCAUAUUUAAUUACAAUUUUUUUGUUAAACUUAUUUAUCUGUGAAGGUGUUAUGUAUAAUUUUUGAAAGUUAAUGGAUACAUUAUUAAGCAAAGAGUAACAGCUCCAACAAACCAGAAUUAUUUAAGUCUCUGAGGAAAACUAAGAUUUCCCUUCUGAUUCAUCUUUAAAAUCCUGUUUUCAACAUCUUUGCAAAGUUAAUUUUAGUUUUUUAAAAGCCAGGUAACUUAAAAUAAUUUUUCUGCCCUUCAUUCCUCUUUUGUUUAUCGUGUUUUUCAGAAUGUUGUUCCAUUAGUGACUUUGAAGUCAGUGAUGUUAGAUCAAAUUAUUCAAAUUACUAGCUUUUGUUGUUGCUGGUGCUGUUUUGUGGGUUUUUUUUCUUUUGUUUUGUUUUGUUUUGAUUUUCCUCUUAUGAAUGUAAUUUACUGGUGUAGUGGUUAUUAGAACAGAACUUCACAGUGUUUGUGUUUUGUCUUAAUUAUAAGUAAUUUUAUAUCACUAAUAUUAUCAGUAAACUUGUUUGUGUAUAUUUUACUCAAUGAAAUGUUAAUGCCAAACUUUGAACAGAAACUGUACUGACUACUUCUAUCUUAAAACAGACAGUACCAGUAGCUGAUUGUUUUACUUUUGUUUCCUUUCAUCAAACAACUCUAUUCAGAAGGUGAAAAUUUCCUUUUCUUCUUUUUGAUGGAAUUUCUUUUCAUUUCUCCCCUUUCUUUUCAUAGUUUUACAAACGGUCAGUUACACAGUUUAUUACAAAAUAUGUUGAGGCACAUGCCUAGAAGGUGUGUUGAAUGGCAUACUCCAUCUACUUGUGGCAUCUAUGCAUAUUAAGUUGUUAAAAGCAUGUUUGUCAAACUUAUAUGACAGUUUUAGCAAUUGUAAAAACGCAUAUUUGCUAUGCUAUGCUAGAAGAAGAGGAAGAAAAAGAAGAAGAGAAGUGAAAAAAGAGAGGAGAGGAGAGGAGAGGAGAGGAGAGGAGAGGAGAGGAGAGGAGAG